GACGGGGGGCAGCAGUGGGGGAAUUUUUGGACAAUGGGCGCAAGCCUGAUCCAGCCAUGCCGCGUGUCUGAAGAAGGCCUUCGGUUGUAAGGACUUUUGUUCAGGGAGCAAAACUUACUGGUUAAUACCUGGUGAGGUUGAGAGUACCUGAAGAAUAAGCACCGGCUAACUACGUGCCAGCAGCCGCGGUAAUACGUAGGGUGCAAGCGUUAAUCGGAAUUACUGGGCGUAAAGCGUGCGCAGGCGGACUUUUAAGCCAGAUGUGAAAGCCCCGAGCUUAACUUGGGAAUUGCGUUUUGGAACUGGGAGUCUAGAGUCUGUCAGAGGGGGAUGGAAUUCCACGUGUAGCAGUGAAAUGCGUAGAGAUGUGGAGGAACACCGAUGGCGAAGGCAGUCCCCUGGGAUAAGACUGACGCUCAUGCACGAAAGCGUGGGGAGCAAAACAGGAUUAGAUACCCUGGUAGUCCACGCCCUAAACGAUGUCUACUAGUUGUUGGGGUAGCAAUACCUCAGUGACGCAGCUAACGCGUAG
RNAcentral lists this ribosomal RNA (532 nucleotides) under uncultured bacterium. RNAcentral's name for it is "bacterial SSU rRNA". It matches the Rfam family "Bacterial small subunit ribosomal RNA", at positions 340 to 862 of the family's 1533-position model. The record is from RNAcentral.